GGAAGGAGAAGAAACGACAGAGAAAUGAGAAACAGAGGAUGCAGAAAAGAGAAAAAAGCAGCGUGUGAAACUCCUGAGGUGUCGAAGAUAAAGAUGCAUUUGCUGAGGGCCUUGUCUAAAGCAGCUGCGGGGGCUAUCUGCCAAAAGAACCACUCCCACUCCAUCCAGCCUUUUCAUUGUCUAUUCAGCAUCUCCAAAUGUGAGCAUGUUUUUUUCCCCUUCUCAAUUCCCAGUAUUAUCUCACCUCACUCAUCUCCCCAACUCUCUGUGUGCCCAUUUGUUUCUUUCCCUCAGACUAUCUCUUCCCCUCUCCCUCUUCUCUUCCUUACGGACACUACAAAGAGCGGAGCCACUGACAGUGAUAAGGAAAAACCCUCCAACAAAGCAGACCCAUUUGUUAAUAAGAAGUCGAGAAGGCACACGGUUCCCACUGCUCAGUGCUUUUCCUGGCUGGCUCCGCUCUUUGUUUUGGUUUCUGGUCCUUCCCUUUUCCUUUCUCCGUGUUUUUUUGGCUGUUCCCACUGCUAUAUCAGUGUCCACACUGUUAUCAUGACUCUUCACUGUACAUGUGUGUCAUUUCCUGUCGCAAAUGUGUCUAGGGGAAAUGCGAAAAACAUAAACUAUAAGAGGUAUCUGUUUGGGUCGGUGCAGAAUGUCACACAGGAGCGUCAGAGUACGGAAAUAAACCCCCUCCAACCAUCACUCUUAACCCGGGGGUUACAUAACACUGAGGAGCUGAGGUGGUGGGGGUCACAUGACUCUCAGCAGGUUGCACCUUGGGUCAUUUACCCCGGGAAUACAGCUUAUAAUAUCUUCUACACAUUACUCCUGUUCCGGCUGCCUUACAUAGCUCCCUAUAGAACACAGGAUAGAAUUUCAAAU
Molecule: long non-coding RNA, 882 nt
Organism: Notothenia coriiceps (black rockcod)
Lineage: Eukaryota; Metazoa; Chordata; Actinopteri; Perciformes; Nototheniidae
Exons: 3
Source: RefSeq, a predicted model, not a curated record